Molecule: long non-coding RNA, 1610 nt
Organism: Phascolarctos cinereus (koala)
Lineage: Eukaryota; Metazoa; Chordata; Mammalia; Diprotodontia; Phascolarctidae
Source: Ensembl
UAAAAAAAAAUCUUGUGGAAGUGAAUGUUGAAAACUAAAAUUACAGCUGGAGGACUGUGGGGCCCGAAGAGGGCAGUGGGCACAGAAGGGCCAUGGCACCGGCAGAAAUCCUCGAUAGGAAGGUGGUCUCCGCAUUGGAAUCAGAGCCACACAUAUUAAACUACCAAGAACCUCAACUGAGGCAGAGAUUGACUAGUGUCAGUGCUGGGAAGUUUGCUAGAGGUAACCUAGGAGAUUGUUUUAUUCCCUGUACACCUAAAAGGAUGCUUGAAACUUAUCAAAGAGACAGAGCCAGCUGUAGCACCAGAAGAUCCAUUGGAAGCUUCUGUUACCUCUGGAAUGGCAGAUGAGUUUUCAAGCCAACUAGAUUCAGGAAAUCUCCUUUUGACCCACUCCUUGAAGCUGUUUCCUCUCCAAACCUUGUGAAGUACUUCAAAAGUGGAGCCAGCCCAGUUCAUACUGACCACGCAGUACUGCUGGGAAAAGACAAGAAGAUUCUUCAGAGAGAGUUGGACUCAGCAUCAACAAAGACUUCAUCAAAAAUAAUUAUUUCAAGGUCUGCCAGAAUCAUUUUCAAGAUUUCCAGAGACCAAGCAGAACUAAGGCAGUCUGGAUCAGUGUUUCCCAACUCCACUAUGAAACAGCUUUCCUGUGUAAUCUACAUUCCCAUCAGCCUUGUCCUCCUGUCUGCGUCCUUCCUCACAACUCCUCAUCUGUUCCUUCUCCUGUGUCCAACUCGGCAUCCAUAGCACAGUGCUCUAAUGUAGAUUUCUGCUCUAAGGCUGCUCAGUUCUGUAAGCAAGGAAUGGAUGAAGAUGGUUGGAUUGCAGCAGCUAUUGGCUGGAGUCUUUGGUUUCUCACACUCAUUUUGUUCUGUGUGGGUAAACUCAGAAAGAUAACACCUAAUGAAUCGAAGUACACACAAGCUUGAAAUUUGGGACUCUAUAGACAAGACUAUCAAACUCCACCAGUUUCCUAAAUGAAGAGAAUGGUCUUAAAAUAAGAUUCAACCUGCUUUUUAAAAGGAAGAAGAAGAUGGAAAUGUCCAGUUUCAGCAAGGAUAAUAGUACUUUCACAUAUAGUUUCAAAUGGUUACUAUUUAGCUCUGAUAGUUUUCCUCUCUAUAUAGUUUGACAUCAGAAUUAUUUCCAUAAACAUUUGCUGAAUUGAAUCGACAAGAAGAAUUUAUGAACUAUCAGUUGUGUUUCCAGAACUAUCCUGACAUUCAAGGAUACAAAAAAGGGAUAACCAAGAACCAUUCCUCAAUGGAUAAGUUGUCAAAAGAUAUGAACAGUUUUUGAAAGACCUGCAAAUUAUCAAUUACAUUAAUUGCCAUUUGGAAACUUUCUCCAAAUCAAUAACAGUAAAUGAAAUGCAAAUUAAAACAACUCUGAGUUUUCAGCUCUCACCCUGAAAAUUGACUAAGAAAACAAAAAUAAGGACAGUCAUUGUUUGGAGGAGUCAUGGAAAGAAAGGAAUACUCAUAUACUGUUGGUAGAGCUAUGAAUUGAUCCAUCCAUUUUGGCUAUCCAUUUGGAAUUAUGCAAAAAUGUUACAUCACUGUUCAUACCUUUUGAUCUAAUAAAUCCUUCUGCUAGACAUAUACUCCA